Molecule: ribosomal RNA, 253 nt
Filed under: uncultured bacterium
Lineage: Bacteria
Description: partial 16S ribosomal RNA
Rfam family: Bacterial small subunit ribosomal RNA
Source: RNAcentral
UACGAAGGGAGCUAGCGUUGUUCGGAAUCACUGGGCGUAAAGCGCACGUAGGCGGAUGUGUCAGUCAGGGGUGAAAUCCCGGAGCUCAACUUCGGAACUGCCUUUGAUACAGCACAUCUGGAGUCCGGAAGAGGUGGGUGGAAUUCCUAGUGUAGAGGUGAGAUUCGUAGAUAUUCGCAAGAACACCAGUGGCGAAGGCGGCUCACUGGCCCGGUACUGACGCUGAGGUGCGAAAGCGUGGGGAGCAAACAGG